RNAcentral lists this ribosomal RNA (345 nucleotides) under uncultured bacterium. Its description in RNAcentral is "bacterial SSU rRNA". It matches the Rfam family "Bacterial small subunit ribosomal RNA", at positions 8 to 334 of the family's 1533-position model. The record is from RNAcentral.
AGAGUUUGAUUAUGGCUCAGGACGAACGCUGGCGGCGUGCCUAACACAUGCAAGUCGAACGGAGCUGCUUUGAUUGAUUCCUUCGGGAUGAUUUUGAUUCAGCUUAGUGGCGGACGGGUGAGUAACGCGUGAGCAACCUGCCUUUCAGUGGGGGACAACAGUUAGAAAUGACUGCUAAUACCGCAUAAUAUCCUUUUGGGGCAUCCCUUUUGGAUCAAAGAUUUAUUGCUGAAAGAUGGGCUCGCGUCUGAUUAGCUAGUUGGUGGGGUAACGGCCCACCAAGGCGACGAUCAGUAGCCGGACUGAGAGGUUGAACGGCCACAUUGGGACUGAGAUACGGCCCAG